RNAcentral lists this long non-coding RNA (921 nucleotides) under Marmota monax (woodchuck). Lineage: Eukaryota; Metazoa; Chordata; Mammalia; Rodentia; Sciuridae. The record is from RNAcentral.
GCUUUAAAUGUAAAAUAAAAUUAAUACCUACUUUAGAAGCAUCUAAUCCUUAUCAGGAUUAAAUAAGGUGAAAAAUGUGAAAUACUAGUAUGCUAUCUGAAUAGACUAAAUACUCAAUAGAUAGUAGUUGUUAUCAUUGAGGCAGUGUAAUCCUGUGGUCAAGAAUAUGGUCUCUGGAACCAGAUUAAUUCUGACCAGUUUUGAACCCAGCUGGAUUUCUAAUUUGCUGUAUCACUUUGGGCAAAUUACUUAAUCUCCGUGCCUUUAUUUACUCAAGUGUAAAACAGAAUAAUGGUACCUACCUCAAUAAUUAUGAAUAUUCAACAAGUCAGUAUACUCUUAGCCCUUUGAAUAAUACCUGACACAUAAUAAAUGUUAACUGGUAGCAUCUAUUAUUAUUGAUUUCUUAUUAGCCUAGUUAUAAUAAUGGCCUGCGACUUCAAAUCAUUCCCUUUCCAUUAUCCUAAGAUUUCUAGUUCUUUAGUUACACAGGAAACUACCAAACUCUUUAACUGUCCUACUUUUUUUAAGGUAUUGUAUAUUGCUAAAGAAAAGCAUACAACCAUGCUGUGGUGAAGACUACUCAUUUUUUUUACAAAUAUCAGUUCUUCUUUUCAUAAUAAUAAUAAUAACAGAGUUUUAGCUGGGCCCAUUCCUAGAUAAUAACAUUUCACAGGCCCUCCAGUGACUAAGUUCUUACCAGCAGAACAAGAGCAGAAAUGAUGUGUGCCACUUCAGACCAGGACAUCAAAAUUUUAAAUAUGUGCUUCUCCAAGGUCUUUCCCUUUCCCUAGAGCUGGAAUUGCCUGCAACCAAACUUCAACCAUGUGGAUGAGGAAAACACCAUAGGCGAAAAACAAAAUAAAAGGAACGUGGGUGCCUAAGUGACCUGGAAUGUGCUCCUCGGACUACUACAUAAGU